This 491-nucleotide ribosomal RNA is filed under the name uncultured bacterium. RNAcentral describes it as "bacterial SSU rRNA". It matches the Rfam family "Bacterial small subunit ribosomal RNA", at positions 9 to 496 of the family's 1533-position model. The record is from RNAcentral.
GAGUUUGAUCCUGGCUCAGGAUGAACGCUGGCGGCGUGCUUAACACAUGCAAGUCGAACGGAACACCCUAGAAGGAGUUUUCGGACAACUGAUAGGACUGUUUAGUGGCGGACGGGUGAGUAACGCGUGAGUAACCUGCCUUGGAGUGGGGAAUAACAGCUGGAAACAGCUGCUAAUACCGCAUAAUAUAUCUGGGUCGCAUGGCUCUGGAUAUCAAAGAUUUAUCGCUCUGAGAUGGACUCGCGUCUGAUUAGCUGGUUGGCGGGGUAACGGCCCACCAAGGCGACGAUCAGUAGCCGGACUGAGAGGUUGGCCGGCCACAUUGGGACUGAGACACGGCCCAGACUCCUACGGGAGGCAGCAGUGGGGAAUAUUGGGCAAUGGGCGCAAGCCUGACCCAGCAACGCCGCGUGAAGGAAGAAGGCUUUCGGGUUGUAAACUUCUUUUCUCAGGGACGAAGCAAGUGACGGUACCUGAGGAAUAAGCCACGG